UAUAUUCGCUUCUAAAUUCGGCAGUUUUGUUGAUCUUUCUCGACUUGUAAUUUCGUUUCGUUUAGGUUAUGUCUUAUAAAAAUAAAUAUUUAUAAGCUUUUGAAUUGAAAUAUACCUUAAUGCAUAUCUGAGUAAUUAAAAAAUUCAGUUUUUUCUGUCCCUCGCGAAGAAACAUAAACAGUAUUUGUGAAAUUUGGAUUAGAAACUAUUAUUUUAUUAGUUUAUUUUGUUGUGUUUAAGUGUUGUGUAUUUGUACCUACUGGAUAAUAUUUUCCAACAUAUUUAAUUAAGCAAAAAGCAUCUGUUUUACAGGUGUGACUGCUAAGUGGUCGUACUCGCCACUUUAACCAAGCAUUGGUGGGACCUUCAGAGAUCAUAAUGCGAAUUUCUUCAUACCAUGUAAAUCUAUAUACAUGUAUUAAUAAAUGCGUUUGCUUUA
RNAcentral lists this long non-coding RNA (439 nucleotides) under Sitophilus oryzae (rice weevil). RNAcentral's name for it is "uncharacterized LOC115877842". Lineage: Eukaryota; Metazoa; Arthropoda; Insecta; Coleoptera; Curculionidae. The record is from RNAcentral.